AAUCUAUGAAACCGAGCCUGGAUCCAGCCAAUCAGUUUGCUCCUUAUAACAAGUCUAACUGGCUCUGGAAAGCUGAAAGGGCUGCACUGGAGCGGCAUAGACGAUAUAUUCCACACAAUAAUCUGCUUAUCUGGAAUCACUCUGGCUGGAAAGGCCAGAGAAAAUCGCAGCUUCAUUAUCUGAGGGAAAGACAGGUAAUCUGGCAAAACAUAUCUAAACCUGGAGCAAGAAUGAUCCUCUGGCUUGAUGGUCCCAACAGUGCAGUGUGAAAGGACCUGAGCCUCCUCAGAAAUCCAAGAGGCAGCCACAAGCAGCAAAACCUGAGAGUGUGACUCCAAAACUGCAAGUGCUUGCUCUCACCCUGUGCUGUUUUCUCAUUGUCUGGGCUCUGUAAAGCUGACAUGCUAGUGUGUUGGGGACUUUGAUCUACAGCCAAGAAAACUUCAGCAACAUAUUGCCAGGAUUCUGGUUGCAAACCGAACUGUACCAAAACUAAAUCAAAUUCCUCAUAUGGUCAACAUUGAACCUAACCAAUGAAUGUGAUUCAAUUUUCAUCCAACUCAGUUUGCCACCAUGAAAAGAACCAAGUUCACAAACCGAGGUACCACUGUACUCAUAAGAAUUCUCUCUGUCCUCUGGCUGGAGAAAGACGAGCCCUCCAAUCACAGAGAGCAUAUCAAUGUACAUUUUUCUACAUCGUGCAACACGGAGCUGAACACUCAACAGCACAGCUACGGAUAAGUUUGACCAGUGCCAUGCAAGGCAGAUGACAGGAAAGGAAGAGAGUGGCGAGCUAGUGCCUGUAGCAGAGAAGAGGAAGUAAUCACAGGUAACUAGGUAAGUCCUGCAUCUGUCUUGUCUUUUCCUCCCUUGACAAUUUCACUGUACGGGGCAGGGAAGAAGUUAUCUUCCAAAAAUAGCCGAAGUUGAAAAGAGAGAACUAAAAGGAGAAAUUGUCACUUUCCUAAAUGAGAAAAGAGAAAUAAAGGAGGAAUAGAAGGCCACGACUUCUUCCUGACCCAGACAGAUGAUAAAGAACAAAGUACAA
This is a long non-coding RNA of Fukomys damarensis (Damara mole-rat), 1048 nucleotides long. RefSeq lists it as uncharacterized. NCBI's taxonomy places the organism in Eukaryota, Metazoa, Chordata, Mammalia, Rodentia, Bathyergidae. The record is from RefSeq and is a predicted model, not a curated record. The transcript has 5 exons.